GAUUCCGUAGCUCAGCUGGGAGAGCGCUACCUUGACAGGGUAGAGGUCGCUGGUUCGAUCCCAGUCGGAAUCA
Molecule: transfer RNA, 73 nt
Filed under: Bacillus subtilis
Lineage: Bacteria; Bacillati; Bacillota; Bacilli; Caryophanales; Bacillaceae
Also listed under: 5 other names
Description: tRNA-Val
Rfam family: tRNA
About the family: Transfer RNA (tRNA) molecules are approximately 80 nucleotides in length. Their secondary structure includes four short double-helical elements and three loops (D, anti-codon, and T loops).
Source: RNAcentral